RNAcentral lists this ribosomal RNA (462 nucleotides) under uncultured bacterium. Its description in RNAcentral is "partial 16S ribosomal RNA". It matches the Rfam family "Bacterial small subunit ribosomal RNA", at positions 28 to 507 of the family's 1533-position model. The record is from RNAcentral.
GACGAACGCUGGCGGCGUGCUUAACACAUGCAAGUCGAACGGAAAGGCCCUUCGGGGUACUCGAGUGGCGAACGGGUGAGUAACACGUGGGUGAUCUGCCCUGCACUUUGGGAUAAGCCUGGGAAACUGGGUCUAAUACCGAAUAGGACCACGCGCUUCAUGGUGUGUGGUGGAAAGCUUUUGCGGUGUGGGAUGGGCCCGCGUCCUAUCAGCUUGUUGGUGGGGUAAUGGCCUACCAAGGCGACGACGGGUAGCCGGCCUGAGAGGGUGACCGGCCACACUGGGACUGAGAUACGGCCCAGACUCCUACGGGAGGCAGCAGUGGGGAAUAUUGCACAAUGGGCGCAAGCCUGAUGCAGCGACGCCGCGUGAGGGAUGACGGCCUUCGGGUUGUAAACCUCUUUCAAUAGGGACGAAGCGCAAGUGACGGUACCUAUAGAAGAAGCACCGGCCAACUACGUG